This 109-nucleotide ribosomal RNA is filed under the name Flavobacteriaceae bacterium MAR_2010_72. The record is from RNAcentral. RNAcentral also lists the same sequence under 1 other name. Lineage: Bacteria; Pseudomonadati; Bacteroidota; Flavobacteriia; Flavobacteriales; Flavobacteriaceae.
UAAGGUGGUUAUAGCAACGGGGCUCACCUCUUACCAUUCCGAACAGAGAAGUUAAGCCCGUUAGCGCCGAUGGUACUGCAACCCGUGGGAGAGUAGGUCAUCGCCUUUU